Molecule: ribosomal RNA, 455 nt
Filed under: Mesorhizobium sp. Lc4-2
Lineage: Bacteria; Pseudomonadati; Pseudomonadota; Alphaproteobacteria; Hyphomicrobiales; Phyllobacteriaceae
Description: bacterial LSU rRNA
Rfam family: Bacterial large subunit ribosomal RNA
Source: RNAcentral
AUACGCUGCGAUAAGCUACGGGGAGGUGCGAAUACCCUUUGAUCCGUAGAUUUCCGAAUGGGGAAACCCACCUAAGGUACUUGGAAAAUCAGAGUAGCAGACGCGACAAUCUCUUCGAGAUUGCGCUGGUGCUACUGUGGUUUCCAAGUAUCGAUAAUAGGUAACUUAUCCUGAAUACAUAGGGAUAAAGUGGCGAACGCGGGGAACUGAAACAUCUAAGUACCCGUAGGAAAGGACAUCAACCGAGACUCCGGAAGUAGUGGCGAGCGAACCCGGACCAGGCCAGUGGCGAUUGAGAGACAAGCGGAACCUUCUGGAAAGUAGGGCCAUAGUGGGUGACAGCCCCGUACGCGUAAUGCAAUCAAUCGUCCUCGAGUAAGGCGGGACACGUGAAAUCCUGUCUGAAAUUGGGAGGACCACCUUCCAAGCCUAAGUACUCGUGCAUGACCGAUAGC